Molecule: microRNA, 22 nt
Filed under: Tribolium castaneum (red flour beetle)
Lineage: Eukaryota; Metazoa; Arthropoda; Insecta; Coleoptera; Tenebrionidae
Description: tca-miR-3815-5p
Source: miRBase by way of RNAcentral
UGGGGGUAGGAUGCUCAAAUGU